GAUGAACGCUGGCGGCGUGCCUAAUACAUGCAAGUCGAGCGAACAGACGAGGAGCUUGCUCCUCUGACGUUAGCGGCGGACGGGUGAGUAACACGUGGAUAACCUACCUAUAAGACUGGGAUAACUUCGGGAAACCGGAGCUAAUACCGGAUAAUAUAUUGAACCGCAUGGUUCAAUAGUGAAAGACGGUUUUGCUGUCACUUAUAGAUGGAUCCGCGCCGCAUUAGCUAGUUGGUGAGGUAACGGCUUACCAAGGCAACGAUGCGUAGCCGACCUGAGAGGGUGAUCGGCCACACUGGAACUGAGACACGGUCCAGACUCCUACGGGAGGCAGCAGUAGGGAAUCUUCCGCAAUGGGCGAAAGCCUGACGGAGCAACGCCGCGUGAGUGAUGAAGGUCUUCGGAUCGUAAAACUCUGUUAUUAGGGAAGAACAAAUGUGUAAGUAACUAUGCACGUCUUGACGGUACCUAACCAGAAAGCCACGGCUAACUACGUG
RNAcentral lists this ribosomal RNA (497 nucleotides) under uncultured bacterium. RNAcentral's name for it is "partial 16S ribosomal RNA". It matches the Rfam family "Bacterial small subunit ribosomal RNA", at positions 28 to 507 of the family's 1533-position model. The record is from RNAcentral.